RNAcentral lists this ribosomal RNA (449 nucleotides) under uncultured bacterium. RNAcentral describes it as "partial 16S ribosomal RNA". It matches the Rfam family "Bacterial small subunit ribosomal RNA", at positions 29 to 523 of the family's 1533-position model. The record is from RNAcentral.
AACGAACGCUGGCGGCAGGCCUAACACAUGCAAGUUGAGCGCCCUAGCAAUAGGGAGCAGCGCACGGGUGCGUAACGCGUGGGAAUAUGCCCUUGGGUGCGGAACAACGUCGGGAAACUGACGCUAAUACCGCAUAAUGACUCCGGUCCAAAGAUUUAUCGCCCAAGGAGUAGCCCGCGUUAGAUUAGGUAGUUGGUGAGGUAACGGCUCACCAAGCCUACGAUCUAUAGCUGGUCUGAGAGGAUGAUCAGCCACACUGGGACUGAGACACGGCCCAGACUCCUACGGGAGGCAGCAGUGAGGAAUAUUGGACAAUGGAGGAAACCCUGAUCCAGCCAUGCCGCGUGAGUGAAGGAGGCCUUCGGGUUGUAAAGCUCUUUCAGAUGUAAAGAUAAUGACGGUAGCAUCAGAAGAAGCCCCGGCUAAAUUCGUGCCAGCCGCCGCCGUAA